UAUCCGUUACAAUAGACGCUCAACAACAUAAAUAACGAAGCUGCUUAAUUGCUCAGAUAAUCUGCGUAUAUUAUUAGUGAUUAAAUGCUAUAGAGAAAAAAAAUAUUUAGGAUGCCCUUUAAAUUUGCCAUUCCAAUAAAAAACAUAGAUUUGCAGACGCCCGAUAAGAACAGUUAUUGUGUAACUCGCAUCUCUGCACCAUCAGAAUUGCCUGAGCUGUUAAAAUAUGCCAGAUUAGAGUUCCGACAAAAUGGUCCGUCAUACAUAAUUGAUCACUUUGACACAUUUUACUCUGUUAUCGAAGCGAACGAUUGUCCCAUUGGAACAUGUAUAAAAGCUUUCGAUGUACUAUACGAGUCUAUUGACAAGCUAGCUCGUGAAUUAGCUGUGGAAUUGAAAAAAUCAUCCAUUAACGAUGAAGCGCGACUUGAUUUGGCGAAUGUGACAAAAAUGUUAAUUUAUUUGAUGGUAAACAUAGUGAAAUCAGUUGAUUUAUACAUUAACAAUGGUGCUAAUGAUGGAGGGAAAACUUGUAAAAAGCUGAGUUCCGAUUUCGACAGUUACAAUUGGAAUCGAAAACGAAAAGAUGGAUUGGAUUUGAUGUACGUAGUUUCUUGUUUGCCACUUGAAAAUUUAUAUGAUCCACCGGUAAUAGAAGAAGAUUUUGCUAAUUUAAUAUGUGAAAUGUCUUACCGUACCAUCGAGCAGCAGUACGUCAAAGAAAAACGAGUGGCAGAGACUGCUUUUCAAAUCCUUGGAACUGCAAUCAAACGUUACAACCAUGCAAUGGUGUUUCCAGUUAAGAUUUUACAGAUAGUUAGUGACAAAGAUUACUCCAUUCGUCAAAUUGCUGAAUCUUCUUACACCAUUUUAUAUGAUGAAUGUGGAAUUAAUUCGAUUUUUGAUGUAUUAAUCAAAGAGUUAGCCGAACGUUUGAUUGAAGGUGCAAGUGACUCGAAACUAUCUAAACAUUAUAGUCAAUUUUUAUCUGACCUUGGCAAUGUUGCCCCAAAGCUGAUGUUACCUCAUCUUUCUGACUUAGGCGAAGAGCUUUUAAAUCAUGAGCCAUACUCUCUUCGCAAUGCAUUGCUCCAAAUAAUGGGUGAUAUUGUAGCGACUGAUUUAUCUAGUGAAGGCCUAGCAGAAGAAUUAAAGGAAACGCGUGACGAGUUUCUUGACUUUCUGUUCGACCAUAUUCACGAUACUAAUGCUCAUGUUCGUUCAAAAGUUUUGCAAAUUUGGAACCACUUGAAAUCUGAAGGAGCAGUUCCACUUUCUCGAAUUCACCAAGUAUUGGAACGAACAGUUGGUCGUCUUGAAGAUAAGUCUAGUAUGGUACGAAAAAAUGCAACAACACUACUGAAAUCAUUUCUAGAACACAAUCCUUUCUCAUCUCGUUUGACACUUGAACAAUUGCAAGCAAAAUACGAUGAAGCAGAUUUAAAUUUGCAAGACCUACGUAAGAAACAAUCUGAAGUAAUACCGCAACUAGAGAAAUUUGAAGAGGAAUGGGAGAACCUUUCGACUGAUAUUUACACAAUGAUUAUUAAUAACAUAAAAACACAAGUGCCGGAAGUAGAGAAUGAGCAUUUAAAGGACAUCGCAGGACCUGUAGGAGAACUUUUAAAAGACAAAAAAUAUAAGGAAGCAUUGGAAUUGGUUCGUAAAGGCGAUGCUGUGAACGAAGAACAAGUUGAUAAUUUAAAUUUCGAGGACAAAUGUCAGUAUUAUUUGGUUCUUUUGAAGUCCUACUAUGCCAUCGCAAACCGACCAAAUGAUUAUGCUGAUGAAAUUACAAAAGCAGAGGACACUGUCAAAUUCUACUUUGAUUUCAUACAAUACACAACAUUGCUAAAUAGUGCUGUGCCAAAACUCGAAGAAAUGCUCAUGUCUAAAACUAACUCGGAUGUUUUUGAAGCUAUUGAUUUCUUUACAGCAGCUUACCAAUUCGGAAUUAAGGGAUGCGAAAGUGGAAUGCAUAAAAUGAUAUUCUUGGUAUGGUCAGACAAAGAAAAGAGAGAAGCAGUUACCUCAGCCUACAAAAAGGUCUUGUUUACAACAGAUAAAAUUGAUCGAGCACACGCGGCACAAGUUGUGGAGAACCUCUCUCGAUUCAUUGAAAAUUUAACAUACGGUCAUUAUUCCGCAUUUGAGGAAUUAAUGAAAGAGUGGGUAGAAAACGAGAUAAUUGACAAUGUUAUGAUUCAAGUUAUGUUUGAACGUUAUACGAAAAAACUACCUAACACAACUGAAAACGACUCAAGACUAGCUUUGCAAUUGCUUGUAUUAAGUAGUGUAGCGAAUCCUAGAAUUGUGAGAAACAAUCUUGAUUUUUUGAUCAGAAUCGGAAUUGAGGAACGGGGCUUGACAGACCCACGUGUCUUCAUGUCAACACUGGAUUUGUUAAUAAACUCUGUAGAAAAAGAAUAUGAGCGUCCAUCUAAAUAUAACAAAAGAUAUAAGCAUCAAGAUGAUAUUGUUGACAAAAUAAUUUCUAACUUUAAAAGGAUGUUUUUUACAAACAACGACAUUGAUUUCGAUAAUGUUUGUAUCAAAACUUUCAAUUUUAUUUAUAGACUUGUAGAUGGUCCAGACGUUUUUGCCCAAAUGAUUGUGGUACAAAUAUUUGAAAAACUAAAAGUACUAUCUAAAAAACUGGAAAAACGCUUAAAUGAUGCUGAUGACGAAGUAACACACUCUCAAACAGAAAACAAGAUUUCACUAUCUCUACCUACAUCUAUAUUGUCACGUUUUAUCUACAUGAUUGGUUACGUGGCGAUGAAGGAAAUGAUUUAUCUCGACAUUGAUGUAUAUAGCAAUAUCAAAUAUCGAGAAGAACUAAAGAACGAAAUGAAAAGGUCAAAAAGUAAGACCAUUAAUAAAAUACUGAAUCCGCGUCGUGCAACAUUAAACCAAAAUAUGGAUAUGUCAGCAAGUAAUGCUCUGAAAAGAAUUUCUAUUGCACCAAAUCAACAAGAAUCCAUUGAAGAGGAAGAUCUUGUAGGUGCUUCUGCUGACGAUGCAAUUGCAGAACAAAUUACAUUCAUUUGCGAAACUGAGAUGUUAUAUUCAAAUGAAUGUCUUUUUCAAAAAUUUCACCCAUUGAUUGUAGAAAUAUGUCAAUACAUUAAUCGUUAUAAGGACGAUGCUCUUCAACAAUCCGUUGUUUUAUCAAUGAUUCAUUUAAUGUCUGUCUCUCCAAGAUUUUGCGAGGCAAAUGUUCCAUUCGUCAUGAACAUAUUUAAUCUUAGCAAAAAUAAACAGGUUAAAGCAAACAUAAUAAUUGGUCUGGCUGACUUUACAUUUCGCUUUCCAAACGUGAUUGAGCCCUGGACGUCACACUUGUACUCAACCUUACACGAAGAAGACACAGAACUACGACUAACGGCUGUUAAAAUGUUGUCACAUCUAAUAUUGCAUGAAAUGAUUCGAGUGAAAGGACAAAUUUCCGAUCUUGCGAUGUGUUUAGUCGAUCCUGUAGCAGAAAUCAAGGUUAUUACAGAGCAAUUCUUUAAAGAAAUCGCACAGAAAUCCAACAUAUUAUAUAAUGUACUUCCGGAUAUUAUCUCUCGUCUAAGUGAUACAACUGAACAAGUUGAAGAAGGAAAAUAUCAGCUAAUCAUGAAAUUCAUAAUUGCUCUUAUUCAAAAAGAUAAACAGGUUGAAAGUCUCGUAGAAAAACUUUGUCUACGGUUCAAGGUUACACAUCACGAACGCCAGUGGCGUGAUGUUGCUUAUUGCUUAUCCUUACUUUCUUACAAUGAAAAGACCAUUAAGAAACUAAUUGAGCAUAUACCUUGUUUCAAGGACAAAAUCCAAAUAAACGAAAUUUAUGACUCUUUUAAGUUGAUCAUCACAAAUACAGCAAAACAAUUGAAACCAGAACUGAAGGUUAUUGUUCAAGAGCUUGAACGCAAAUUGGAAGAAUGCCUUUCGGUAAAAGAUGAACUACUGGGACAGGAACCUGGCCAAAUAGCAGUUCAGAGUGAGGAUGAGUCGCCAUCAAAAAUGAAAGCAAAAAUUAAACCAAAAACUAAUUUGAAACACGCUCCUGCUAGAACAAAGAAGGGUGGCCGUGCAGGCGGACGUGGCCGCCGAGACGAAUCUUCGAGUGGCAGUGAGGAUAGUGAUUUCGAGAAUAGAGUUCCCCUACGUAAAGGUCGUUUUCGUACUGACCUGGAAACAGAGUGUACUGCUCGUAGCUCAAAGAAAACUAUUGGUGCUACAAAAGUGAUUGCCGAUUCCGACACUUCAGGCAUUAAAAAUAGCACUCUGAGGCCCAGAAGAACCAGAAAACUUAGUGAAACUAAUUAAAUUACACACACAUCGCCAAACUUUAUUAUUUUCAAAUUUUUCCCUAUCUAUUUCUCUUGAUUGCUUUAGCAGAAAGAGAAACCAAAAGCACACGGUACAAUAUGCAAACGGAAGAUUCUGAUGAGCAACCCCAACCUAAAAGGAAAGUCAGAGGAAAACGACAAUAGUUUGCAUGUUGUAAUUUAGUUUAAGGUUUUUUUUUAAAUAAAUUGUAUUUAAAUAAAAUCUUUUAAAUAUUUA
Culicoides brevitarsis is the source of this 4554-nucleotide RNA transcript. It is a transcript of the gene named condensin complex subunit 1, with no coding region annotated. The transcript has 7 exons. The record is from RefSeq and is a predicted model, not a curated record. NCBI's taxonomy places the organism in Eukaryota, Metazoa, Arthropoda, Insecta, Diptera, Ceratopogonidae.